AGCGAACGCUGGCGGCAGGCCUAACACAUGCAAGUCGAACGAACCUUUCGGGGUUAGUGGCGGACGGGUGAGUAACACGUGGGAACGUGCCUUUAGGUUCGAAAUAACUCAGGGAAACUUGUGCUAAUACCGAAUGUGCCCUUCGGGGGAAAGAUUUAUCGCCUUUAGAGCGGCCCGCGUCUGAUUAGCUAGUUGGUUGAGGUAAUGGCUCACCAAGGCGACGAUCAGUAGCUGGUCUGAGAGGAUGAUCAGCCACAUUGGGACUGAGACACGGCCCAAACUCCUACGGGAGGCAGCAGUGGGGAAUCUUGCGCAAUGGGCGAAAGCCUGACGCAGCCAUGCCGCGUGAAUGAUGAAGGUCUUAGGAUUGUAAAAUUCUUUCACCGGGGACGAUAAUGACGGUACCCGGAGAAGAAGCCCCGGCUAACUUCGUG
This 434-nucleotide ribosomal RNA is filed under the name uncultured bacterium. RNAcentral describes it as "partial 16S ribosomal RNA". It matches the Rfam family "Bacterial small subunit ribosomal RNA", at positions 29 to 507 of the family's 1533-position model. The record is from RNAcentral.